This 196-nucleotide ribosomal RNA is filed under the name uncultured bacterium. RNAcentral describes it as "partial 16S ribosomal RNA". It matches the Rfam family "Bacterial small subunit ribosomal RNA", at positions 328 to 539 of the family's 1533-position model. The record is from RNAcentral.
ACGCUCGACACCUAAGGAGGCAGCAGUGGGGAAUAUUGCACAAUGGGGGAAACCCUGAUGCAGCGACGCCGCGUGAGCGAAGAAGUAUUUCGGUAUGUAAAGCUCUAUCAGCAGGGAAGAAACUGACGGUACCUGACUAAGAAGCACCGGCUAAAUACGUGCCAACAGCCGCGGUAAUCUGAGCGGCUGGCAAGGC